RNAcentral lists this long non-coding RNA (494 nucleotides) under Apteryx rowi (Okarito brown kiwi). RNAcentral describes it as "lncRNA (ENSARWG00000017394.1)". The record is from RNAcentral. Lineage: Eukaryota; Metazoa; Chordata; Aves; Apterygiformes; Apterygidae.
AGAAAGAAUAUCAGCCCUGGUUUUGCUGGAGGUCUUCUUGGGGAUCUCAGAUAGCUUCAGUCAUGAAACAUCAGGCUAACACAAGCUCAUCUCUCUCAAAACCUCUAACUUCAUUGUCCCAAACCACUUGUGUGAAAGACAGGUUGAAUGUAGCACAGUGCAAGCUCUGCUCUCCUGCAGUUAUUUAAGGGGAUUAACAGACUCACCCCCGCAUUGUGGAUGGCACAAUACUUAUGACAGAUAAAUCAAGCACAACAGGAGAAAUGCUGCUGAAGGGACCCAGUCACAGCAAUGUUUCCUGCUCCUGGAGGAAGUGCUGGAGUGUGCUGUUUCAGCGAGCUGGAAGAGAAGGCUGGCUUUUAUGAAUCUCUCUGCCUUGUGUGAGCUUAAUGCUUGUGAAGAGUACUGGACUGGACAUCAAAUGUGUGUGAAAAAACAUUCGAUGGUACUAUUCCAUGAUAAUGGUCUAAAAUACUACAGUUCCAAGUGAGUAC